UACAUCGCCAACAAAUUAAUUCAAUUAAAAUUAUUAAUGUAUAAAGUUGUAAAACCAGCAUGAGAUUAUGUUUUGUAGAAGACAAAGCGAUCUAAAGAUAAUAAUUAUAUUUUUCCAAGGAACCUCUCCGCACGAUUCCUAAUAAGACACAAUCGCACCAAGCACCGAGAUGGGAAAGAAAUGAAAAUUCCGCCGCUUUGAUGUGCAAAAUAAAUUGGAGUUAAUUUGUUUCUAAAUGCCAACGUGUUUGGGUGUCGGGCAUGUAUGAUUCCGAAAAUAAUUAUGUGCGCUCUUUCGGUUUGAUUGAAAACGACUUUCAAAUAGAUAACAUGUAUGAAUUAAAAAACAAAAAUCCUCAAGGGUAAAAUAAAUCAAUGAGGAGAAACUCUAGGAGCGGAACCGUGAAAUCGAAAAGAAAACCUGAUUGUCAAUCGUUUUGUUCGUUAAGACGAUGAAUAUCGACCUGCGGGUAUAUUAAAACAGCAAAUGUAUCGUUCGUUAACGAUUAUACGAGUUCGUGUUGAGUUCGAGUGCGAAAAAGGUUAGCGUCAAUCAUUAAUUUUUGUCAAUCAUUGUCAAAAAUGACGAUUGCACCUUCGUGUUUGGGGUCGAGUACGAAAUAUGAAUACUAGUUCGUGUUCGAGUUCGAGAAUCGUAGAAUCGAGAACAAAAAAUUAAAAAACAAAUGUAUCGUUCGUUAAUUAUUAUGAGUUCGUGCUUGAGUUCGAGUGCGAACAAAGUUCGUGUUUGAGCUCGAGUGCGAACAAAGUUAAACGGGUACAAGUAACGUUAGCAGACGAAUGUACACGAGUACGAGUACUUCAACUGCGGAAGAAUUAUUACGCGAACGUAUGAUUGGGCCAUGUUAGUAAUCUUUUAAAUUGAUCUCCGUUCGAUUGAAAAUGACUCUCAAAAAAAGAUAACAUGCAAAUUAAAAGAUGAUAAUCCUCAAGAAUAUAUAGUAGAUAAAUGAGGAAAAUCCUAGAAGCAGGAACGUGGAAUCUGAAAUUAAAAGUCAUUGUCAAUCAUUAAUUUGCCCGAUAUGUGUAUAGGAAGAAAAUAGGACGAUGGAUAUCAACAUGCUAUAUAUUAAAAUAACAAAUGUAUUGUUCUAUAACGAUUACGAGUUCGUAACAAGUACAUUGUACUUAAAACUGCUAAACCACGUAGCACCUGCUAUCAUAGGAAGGGUUUUUAUGUCGAAAUCAUGGUGGGGCCAUGUGUAGUGAAUCGUUCUGCUUCUCUUCCAAUUUCCAACAUCUAUCUUUUUUGUUUAAUCUUGCACAGUAAUAUUCCCUGCUUGACAUUUAAAGACAACGAUUGUGAGAUAUUGUAUUUUUUUAACGUUUGUAACAAUUCUUGAUAUAUAUUUAGAGUCAUGUGUAUGAAUCAAACGUUUUCAAAUUCCAGUCGCGUAAUCACGCAGUUUAUCGUCGUUCUACACUGAUUCCCAUUGUUAAAAAAUCUUAGGGCCAUGUGUACAAAACUUUCAUCGCCAAACUUAUAUGACAGAAUAUUUACAGGAUUCAAGGGCCAUGUGAACGUGAUUUACUUUGUUUUUGUAAACAAUGUCUAAUUUAUUUUUGCAAAAUUAUUUUAGGGCCAUGUGGUGUAGUGUAUAGAUCUUAUAUUCCUCCGUUCUGUAUAAAUUUCUCCAAUAACCGGACGUGUAUUUUCUGCGUCGGGGUAUGCAUGAUAUGAGAUAACAAAUGUGUCGUUCGUUAAUUAUUACAAGUUCGUGUUAAACAGUUACAAGUAACGUUAGAAGACGAAAUAUGUACACGAGUGCAAGUACUUAAACUGCGGAAGAAUUAUUACGCGAACGUGUGUUUGGGCCAUGUGUAGUAAUCUUUUAAAUUGAUCUUCAUUUGGUCGAAAAUGACUCUAGAAAAAGAUUAUAUAAAUUAAAAUGUGAUAAUCCUCAAAAGUAGAAAAUAAAGGAAGAAACACAAUAAUGUCUCCUGCUUGACAUUUAAAGACAAUGAUUGUGAGAUGCAUAGAGUUAUUUUUGUGUACGGAAUAUUUUUUUUCGUUUGUAACAAAUCGUGAUAGAUAUUGAGGGCCAUGUGUACGAAUCCAUUUUUUUGAAAUUCCUGUCGCGUCUGUUUGCAUUUUCCCGUUGUUCUACAUUGAUUCUCAUUGUAAAAAAAAUCCUAGGGCCAUGUGUACACAACUCAAUCACCGUUCUGUAGAGAUUUCUGCCCCAAAGGGAUUUUUUCUUGCGUUCUGUACUUACAUCUAUGACACAUUAUUUACAGGAUUCCAGGGACAUGUCUUAGGCUAACUCUGUGUUUGUACAAAAGCUGUUUAAUUUAUUUUGCAAAAUUAUAUUAGGGCCAUGUAGUGCAAUGUUUAGAUCUUAUAUUCCUCCGUUCUGUGAACAUUUCUCAAAUAGCCGGACGUGUAUUUUCGGCGGUUAUGCAUGGAAUGAAGUAACAAAUUAGUUCGAGUGCGAACAAAGUUAAACGGUUACAAGCAACGCUAGCAGACGAAAUAUGUGCGCAAGCACGAGUACUUAACUACGGAAGAAUUAUUACGCGAACGUAUAUGAUUGGGCCAUGUGUAGUAAUCUUUUAAAUAGAUUUCCGUUCGAUUGAAAAUAACUUUAAAACAAGAUGAUAUAAAUUAAAAGGUGAUGAUCCACAAUAAUGUCUCCUGCUUGACAUUUAAAGACAAUGAUUGUGAGAUGUACAGUGUCAUGUUUGUGUACGGAAUAUUUCUUCCGUUUGUAACAAAUCGUGAUAGAUAUUGAGGGCCAUGUGUACGAAUAAAACUUUUUGAAAUUCCUGUCGCGUCUAUUAGGCAUUUUUGUCGUCGUCUUUCUACAUUGAUUCUCGUUGUUAAAACAAUCCUAAGGCCAUGUAUACAAAACUUUCAUCGCCGUUUUGUUGAGAUUUCUGCCAAACCAUUUUUGUUCUUGGCGUUAUCUUCUGUACUUAUAUGAAAGAGUAGUUACAGGAUUCCAGGAACAUGUCUUACUUUUUUUUUUUUAAUCUUUCUAAAUUAUUAUGCAAUAUAAAAUAGGGCCAUGUGGUGCAGUUAAAAGAUCUUAUAUUCCUCCGUUAUGCAUACAUUUCUCCAAUAGCCGGAGUGUAUUUUCUUGAACACUGCUUGUGCAUGCAUAUCGCACCCCGUCUUGAGUGCGAAUCAUUGUGUUAAAUUCUCUAGGGACAUGUGUUGAGUAUAUAAUAAGCUACUUUGAAGCUUAAAAAGCUCUAAUGUUGGAGCUAUUUUUUUUCUUGUAUGCUCUUUGUAUUCCUCACAUGUCGUAACUUCACCGUGGUUCAUGAAGUAAAAUACUCUAUGGGGCCAUGUUUACAAAUCUACUUUGUUUGUCUGUAUGACAACCAUUUUCUUGGAUAUCUAUUUUUUUUUUUUUAACAUUAUCUAUAUGUAUAGGGCCAUGUGCUGAUCUUAAAGAUUCCUUGCAACAUGUAACGGUCGUGAUACGUUAUCAAAAUGAUGGUUUCAACGAUUCCACGAUUAUUUUGCGACAUGAAAUAGUCUCUGAUCCUUGUCGAAAUGUGUCUCGACACACAUUGUUGUUUGUUCUUCCAUAAUAACCGAUUUGCAAAGAAUAUAAUUGCCUUUUGUGUUAGAGCCAUUGUGACAAUUUGUUUAUUGUAAAUCAGGUGAAAUGACACCUGUUAUGUUGGAUACACCUUGUAAUAGCUUUGUAAAAUGUACAGUCUGAUUUUACAGGGUGAAACAAUGUGCAGCAAUUUAUUUUUUUAACAACCAUAACACCAGUGGAGGUUUUGAUGGGUGGUACUUUUCAAUUCUGAUAAGUCCGAUCACAACUGGUCGGCAAUGUGAAUGUUGUUUGCCUUUGAACCGCGUAGCGCGUUGGAUGCGCGUUGCUUUGUCCAUACUGGAGUUAUCAUCUUCGCGACCAGUAGGCAAAAUUUUCUAUUUAGAAUAAACUAAGUUUUGUAAGUAACGGUUGAAUCCAUUACAGUGGUCAGGUAAGGGCCACUAAUUGGAUUAUCUUGUUUGUUUAAUUAUAACUUUACACCCAGUUGCCUAGAGAUCUAAGUAGCGUAGACCUAAACUAAGUGUCCCUUUUUGUAUGAUUGUAUCUUUUUAGUGGUCAGGUAAGGACCAUUAUAAUUAUACGUUUUUAUUCUCUUUAUACCACACCACCGGUCACCAAUUUGACCAGGAAAUUUCUGUACAUUGUACUAACGUAACCUAGCUCCGCUAGGAAGACUUCUUUUCUUUUCAGCAACAUGCAAUUGGAGGAUCAGUAAGCCAGAGUGCUCAUGUCAGGAGCUGAUGACACGGAGGAACCGGAAGCAGGGGGGAGGAACACCGGAUGACUGACGACCCUGCUUGCCGGGCGACCCAUUACUGGUUUCCCAGAGAUGGACGGUCUGCAAGAUGAGAUGUCAUUCUGGAUGAAGAUAAGAUCACCUCUGAAUCCCAAGGAACCGGAAGCAGGGAGGAGGACCGACGGAAGGACUGAUGACCUGCUUGCAGAGCAAUUCUUCACCAACUCUUGAGAUUCCUCUUGCUUCGUAUAAGCAGAAGAAGAGAAGCCGAAAAACUCCCAUACUGGUCUCAACGUGUGCGUUGCUGAUAGUCUUAUUGUAAAAGUGUAGUCUUGUAAAUGCUUGGGUGUUGCUAUUGAUUUGGGGCCCAAACGUUGAAUACGUAAGGAAAACAGUUUCUUCCUAACAUGAUAUGUUGAACAGAAUUCGUGAUUACUUAUGUUCCCCAAGGCGGCACUUUAUGCAAUGCCCCCAAUUCGUAGUUGCCGUUCCCCCCCCCCCCCCAUUUUUCCCAAACACUUUAUCUACAAAUAGAUAGCGCCCUCACUCUGACUGUGGCUUGAACCAACGCACUUAAUGGAGCGCGGACUGCAAACAACUCCGUAAAAGCCUGAUCGUACAAACUGCAUAGCGCCCUCAGUCACUGCUUUCUACUGAUGCCAUUGACGCUAACGUAUUUACAUCUUUGCCGUUGGUCGAUAAUUGGUCUACGUUUUGUGAUCUGUGUAUAUUUGAAGCAAGACGGAAAAGGCAGUCUUUAGCUUUAAAAUGUCAGAAGGGAAAUAACAAACACUGAAAUGAUUAUUUCUGUAGAAACUAUAUUUAUUUAAAAACAAUAUUUAUUGGAGCGCUGUGGUCCAAUGGUUACGGCGUUCGACUCGUGUGACGCGGUACGUGGGUUCGAACCCAGACAGGGAACGUGGUGUUUGUGUUCUUAGGCAAGACACUUUACUAUACGAUUGCCCCUCUUCGCCCAGGAGUAUAAAUGGGUACCUGUGAGGGCAUAGAGACUAAAGUGCGCUGAUCUCGAACUGCUGCAAAAACUGGUCUCA
RNAcentral lists this long non-coding RNA (5323 nucleotides) under Patiria miniata (bat star). RNAcentral's name for it is "uncharacterized LOC119746490, transcript variant X2". The record is from RNAcentral. Lineage: Eukaryota; Metazoa; Echinodermata; Asteroidea; Valvatida; Asterinidae.